AACGAACGCUGGCGGCAUGCCUAACACAUGCAAGUCGAACGAGACCUUCGGGUCUAGUGGCGCACGGGUGCGUAACGCGUGGGAAUCUGCCCUUUGCUUCGGAAUAACAGUUAGAAAUGACUGCUAAUACCGGAUGAUGUCUUCGGACCAAAGAUUUAUCGGCAAAGGAUGAGCCCGCGUAGGAUUAGGUAGUUGGUGGGGUAAAGGCCUACCAAGCCGACGAUCCUUAGCUGGUCUGAGAGGAUGAUCAGCCACACUGGGACUGAGACACGGCCCAGACUCCUACGGGAGGCAGCAGUGGGGAAUAUUGGACAAUGGGCGAAAGCCUGAUCCAGCAAUGCCGCGUGAGUGAUGAAGGCCUAGGGUUGUAAAGCUCUUUACCCGGGUAUGAUAAUGACAGUACCGGGAGAAUAAGCUCCGGCUAACUCCGUGCCAACAGCCGCGGUAAU
RNAcentral lists this ribosomal RNA (449 nucleotides) under uncultured bacterium. RNAcentral describes it as "bacterial SSU rRNA". It matches the Rfam family "Bacterial small subunit ribosomal RNA", at positions 29 to 524 of the family's 1533-position model. The record is from RNAcentral.